RNAcentral lists this transfer RNA (76 nucleotides) under Candidatus Babeliales bacterium. Its description in RNAcentral is "tRNA-Lys". It matches the Rfam family "tRNA". From Rfam's summary of the family: Transfer RNA (tRNA) molecules are approximately 80 nucleotides in length. Their secondary structure includes four short double-helical elements and three loops (D, anti-codon, and T loops). Further hydrogen bonds mediate the characteristic L-shaped molecular structure. tRNAs have two regions of fundamental functional importance: the anti-codon, which is responsible for specific mRNA codon recognition, and the 3' end, to which the tRNAs corresponding amino acid is attached (by aminoacyl-tRNA synthetases). tRNAs cope with the degeneracy of the genetic code in two manners: having more than one tRNA (with a specific anti-codon) for a particular amino acid; and 'wobble' base-pairing, i.e. permitting non-standard base-pairing at the 3rd anti-codon position. Lineage: Bacteria; Candidatus Babeliae; Candidatus Babeliales. RNAcentral also lists the same sequence under 1 other name. The record is from RNAcentral.
GAGCCGCUAGCUCAGCUGGUAGAGCAACAGACUUUUAAUCUGUGGGUCGAUGGUUCGAAUCCAUCGCGGCUCACCA